CGUGUAGGCGGCGUAAUAAGUCCGAUGUGAAAUCCCUCAGCUUAACUGAGGAACUGCGUUGGAAACUGUAAUGCUUGAGUAUGAUAGGGGGAAGUGGAACUCCAUGUGGAGCGGUGAAAUGCGUAGAUAUGUGGAGGAACACCGAUGGCGAAGGCAACUUCCUGGGUCAUUACUGACGCUGAGGCGCGAAAGCUAGGGUAGCGAACAGGAUUAGAUACCCUGGUAGUCC
RNAcentral lists this ribosomal RNA (229 nucleotides) under uncultured bacterium. RNAcentral's name for it is "partial 16S ribosomal RNA". It matches the Rfam family "Bacterial small subunit ribosomal RNA", at positions 568 to 796 of the family's 1533-position model. The record is from RNAcentral.